UACGAGGGGGGCGAGCGUUGCCCGGAAUUAUUGGGCGUAAAGAGCUCGUAGGUGGCCUGUCGCGUCGGCUGUGAAAACUCGGGGCUCAACUCCGAGCUUGCAGUCGAUACGGGCAGGCUAGAGUUCGGCAGGGGAGACUGGAAUUCCUGGUGUAGCGGUGAAAUGCGCAGAUAUCAGGAGGAACACCGGUGGCGAAGGCGGGUCUCUGGGCCGAUACUGACACUGAGGAGCGAAAGCGUGGGGAGCGAACAGG
This 253-nucleotide ribosomal RNA is filed under the name uncultured bacterium. RNAcentral describes it as "partial 16S ribosomal RNA". It matches the Rfam family "Bacterial small subunit ribosomal RNA", at positions 524 to 776 of the family's 1533-position model. The record is from RNAcentral.